Molecule: transfer RNA, 85 nt
Filed under: Azospira sp.
Lineage: Bacteria; Pseudomonadati; Pseudomonadota; Betaproteobacteria; Rhodocyclales; Rhodocyclaceae
Also listed under: 2 other names
Description: tRNA-Leu
Rfam family: tRNA
About the family: Transfer RNA (tRNA) molecules are approximately 80 nucleotides in length. Their secondary structure includes four short double-helical elements and three loops (D, anti-codon, and T loops).
Source: RNAcentral
GCGAGAGUGGCGGAAUUGGUAGACGCACUGGAUUUAGGUUCCAGCGCCGAAAGGUGUAGGGGUUCGAGUCCCCUCUCUCGCACCA